CAUCAAAACAAGUGUUAUUAGAUGACUGAAGACUAUCGAGAAAUUAAGCUUUAUAGUAGUAAAGAAGAAAGAGAAAUGUACGAUAACAUGGCUGACCUGUUUUCAAUUGUUCAAACUCUGGAUCUUUUGGAAAAGGCAUACGUAAAAGACUCUGUAACGGCAGAGGAGUAUACUCCAGCCUGUGAAAGGUUAAUUGCUCAGUAUAAAACUUGCAAGAAUUUACUUUUGCAUGAAGUUACGGAUCUUGAAAGCUUUAUGAAGAAAUACUCGCUUUUUCUUGUCCAGCUGCCUAUAAUCGUUUAAAAAUUGGUGUGCCUGCGACCAUCGAACACGGAGGUCUAACAGAGGUUGAAGGUAAGAAAGUUUCUCAAUACGUGGCUGAAGUUGUUCAGUACUUUAUCACUUUAAUGGAUUCCGUGAAAUUGAACAUGGUGGCCAUAGAUGAAAUUCAUCCACAAUUAAACGAUCUUUUACAAAGCAUGAAUAAAAUAAAAUCUUUACAGGAGGAUUCCGAAAAUUUUGAUUUUAAAAGCAAAAUUAGACAGUGGCUUGAAAUCACCAAUACCAUGAAGGCAAGUGACGAAUUAAACGAAGAACAAAAAAGACAGUUAUUGUUUGAUUUAGAGCAGGCGCAUAAUGCCUUUUACCGUGCUUUAGCUAAAUAAAAAUAACUAUAAUCUUUU
This is a long non-coding RNA of Zophobas morio, 683 nucleotides long. RefSeq lists it as uncharacterized. The record is from RefSeq and is a predicted model, not a curated record. Lineage: Eukaryota; Metazoa; Arthropoda; Insecta; Coleoptera; Tenebrionidae. The transcript has 5 exons.